AAACCAGCACCUCAAGUGGUCAGGAUGAUUAUUGGGCCUAAAGCAUCCGUAGCCGGCUCUGUAAGUUUUCGGUUAAAUCUGUACGCUCAACGUACAGGCUGCUGGGAAUACUGCAGGGCUAGGGAGUGGGAGAGAUAGACGGUACUCGGGAGGAAGUGGUAAAAUGCUUUGAUCUCUCGAUGACCACCUGUGGCGAAGGCGGUCUAUCAGAACACGUCCGACGGUGAGGGAUGAAAGCUGGGGGAGCAAACCGGAUUAGAAACCCCGGUAGUCC
This 274-nucleotide ribosomal RNA is filed under the name uncultured bacterium. RNAcentral describes it as "partial 16S ribosomal RNA". It matches the Rfam family "Archaeal small subunit ribosomal RNA", at positions 473 to 747 of the family's 1478-position model. The record is from RNAcentral.